CGAGUGUAGUAUUUAUUAUGCUUUAUUGUGGGUAAAGAGAAAAGCUUGUAA
RNAcentral lists this transfer RNA (51 nucleotides) under Sphaerirostris picae. RNAcentral's name for it is "tRNA-His". Lineage: Eukaryota; Metazoa; Acanthocephala; Palaeacanthocephala; Polymorphida; Centrorhynchidae. The record is from RNAcentral.